Molecule: long non-coding RNA, 2307 nt
Organism: Herpailurus yagouaroundi (jaguarundi)
Lineage: Eukaryota; Metazoa; Chordata; Mammalia; Carnivora; Felidae
Exons: 4
Source: RefSeq, a predicted model, not a curated record
AAGAGCCUUCACUGUACUCCAGAUUCUGCUCUUAGCACUUUGAAUAUAGCCACCCAUUUAACCCUCACAACAAUCCUCUGACGUAGAUGUACUAUUAUCAUCUGCAUCAAUUUCCUAGGGCUAUCAACAACAAACUACCACAAACUUGGUGACUUAAAGCAAUAGAAACUUAUUCUCUCACAAUUCUGGAAGGCAGAAGUCCAGAAUCAAGGUGUCAACAGGGCCAAAGGCUCUGGAGGAGAUUUCUUUCUUGCAUCUUCCAGUUUCUGGUGGCUCCUGGUAUUCUUUGGCUUGUGGCUACGUCUCUCCAAUCACUGCCUGCACACGGCCUUUUCCCCUGUGUCUGUGUGUGCUACAUUUCCCUCUCUUUUCUCUUAUAGGACACCAGUGAUUGGAUGUAGGGCCCACCCUAAAUCCAGAAUGAACUCAUCUCAAGAUCCUUAAUUACAUUAGCAAAGACCCUUUUUCUAAAUAAGCUCACAAUUUACAGCCCUUUUCCUGGAAAUUAAUGCAGCUUAUUAUGCUUCACAUUGGAAGAGGCAAAGAGCCAUAGCCUCACACCUUUCCAUGAAUUAUUCUAAAGUUGGCAGCAGACUACCUAAAUGAAAAAGCAACAGCAAAACAACACCCAGAGGUUACAGGAGCUGGGAUCUUGAACUUGGUGGUUUGGGAACCAGGUUUUGCUGCUGACAGUACACUGGAAGCCAGAAUCUAGGACUGAGCCUGGCUUGGAGAUCAAUGGAGUUGGCCUGGAACAAGAAACCCUCUCGAAUACAAUUUGUGACAAUAGAAGGGAGUUUUCCAGCCAGUGCAGCCUGUGCAUCAGGAGACACAGAGACAGAAUCAAAGAAGAGCUGAGUUUUGGCAAUGGAAGAGAAAUCAGGGAGGAUGACUUCCACAGUGGCUGCCCAGUCAUGUGGGCUGGCACUAUGCCCUCAUCAAAGCAGUUCCUGCCAGCUUAUAUGCAGCAAUAGAGUCUGUUACCUGUGUUUUCUGACUUCUCCAAAUGGGCCUGUCAGCCCCUAUCACCCCAGAUAACCUAACCCAGUCCUUGUCACCUAUGCCUCACACAUAUCCCUCCCUUAGGCUUAAACUCCCAGUAACACACCCCAUCACUAUCUUGUCCUGUGGGAAUGGAGUGGCAUGAGUCUUGGAGCCCUGUAGACCCUGAUGCUUGAAUCCUAACCCCACUCUGACAUCCAGCUUUACUUCUUUCCCCAAGUAACUCUUUCCUUCCAUUGUCUGCCAGCUCCAAGAGAAAGAGUAUUAGGCCUAGGGGUGCUUUCCAACAGGCCCUGAGUGUUUGGGGUGUACAUCAAAUGUUUUCUGGGGGAACAGCAAGUCAAAUGCCGUAUGCAACUCAGAAGGCCAUACAAGUACAGAACCUCCAUAUCCUGGGUCCACCAAGGCCUUGGAGUGACUGGGGAAUGAAACUAGAAUCCUCUUCCAGGCCUUCAAACCCCACACUUAGUCCCACUGUCUGCACGAGACAUCAGAGCUUACAGAAGUCCCCUUGUCUCUGAGGUUGGCCAGAGGAACAAGCUGCUAGUGAGUAUCAGUGCUAGAAAUGCUGGCAACAAGCAGCAUAGGACACUUUUUUUUUUUUGAGUUUUAUUUUUUUAUUUUUUUAAUAUGAAAUUUAUUAUCAAAUUGGUUUCCAUACAUCACCCAGUGCUCCUCCCAAUACAUAGGACACUUUUAACGCUCCUAUAAAGCAUGUGUAUUCUGAGGAACUUACACUCCUGAGCAGCUGGGGCUACAUCUGUAAAUGUCACACAUAAUGAGCUGUUCCAAGAAAGAUCCAGGAAUACAAAAAGCUUGAUUUCCUGGCUCCAGUGCCUCCCCUUGGAAACCUUCUCCUCUGAGGACAAUUUGGCAAAAGGUCAAAUUGGUACCUUGACCUUUACACACACACACACACACACACGCACGCACGCACGCACGCGCGCAUACGCACAGAGAGAGAGAGAGAGAGAGAGAGAGAACAAGAAAAUCACUUGGUUAUAUUAAGCAUCCCAUCACAUUCCUCUCUCAGGAAGGCAGGAUAUAGUAAUCAGAAACAGACAAAAAGAAAAAAUAAUUGACAAGGCACCUGUUUUUUUUACAUAGAUCUACUUCUUUCUAACUCUCUUGCAGGUUCUCUUGCUGUUCUAUUACUUGGUAACCAAUUGCCCCAGCUCCAAAUCUGUUCCUCCUUUCCAUAAUCAUAAUAUCUAGAAGUUGAGUUCCCAAGGCAACCACAAAUAUUUGUUAUUCUUUCUGCCAUGUGAUUUUCCCUAAAAAUAAACUCAGAUAUUUUUCCUACCA